This is a long non-coding RNA of Prionailurus viverrinus (fishing cat), 2414 nucleotides long. RefSeq lists it as uncharacterized. NCBI's taxonomy places the organism in Eukaryota, Metazoa, Chordata, Mammalia, Carnivora, Felidae. The record is from RefSeq and is a predicted model, not a curated record. The transcript is spliced from 5 exons.
UGCACCCGGGAACCAGAGGCGAUCUUGCAAUUCCGGGGGCCAGGCCCUCGGUGCGCAAAGGCUCUGCGCCCGAGGGGAGACGCGUGACCGUGACUGCCCUCUGACAUUUUCCCCCAGCUGCUUCGCUCGAGAUGGAAAAUUGACAGGGACCAACUUUGCAACAACGUGUCCGUGUGACGGAGCCGAGCAAAUACUGCGGAUGCUGCAGACCAGCUGAGCGCUGCCUCGUGGCCCAGUGCCCCGAGGAUGCAGGGUGUUGAAGAAGCCUCGCUUCCUCCUCCCAGAGCCGCAAAACUGAGAGCAGGGCCAAAGAGGACGCUUCUGGGACCCCGCCACCGGUGCUGGCGUCCCCGCGCUGGCUGUCACCUGGCCUUGGGUCUGCAAGGUGGAUUUAAAGCUCCCAGCCCUCCGGCACCCGCCCAAUGGAAGCUGCAGCGGCCGCCGAGCAGGGGCUGAGACAGACCAGUUCCCCCACUGGACGGAGACGGCUUUGGCUGUCUCUGGAGCCACGUUUCCUCCGAGCCUUUGGAAACCAGCGGAGAAGUCAGCUCACCUGACAAGCUUUUGGAGGUGCACUCAGCACGUCUGAGCGAGGUUGUGUUUUCCUGCUUUUAUGUUGCCACGCCUGGUAAUCUACUCUGGGAACCAGACAUCGUGGAUGACACCGAGAUCGAUAGCAUCGCAGACUGAUCCUUGGACACUCGCCCUGAAUAUGAAACCCUGGAAUGGGGAGAGAGUUGCUUACCAAAGAUAUAGAAGACAAAAGGCCACCCGAGGGUUUGGCUGAUGAUGCCACCCAGGAGGAUGAUGGUGAAGGUUCCCAGCAUCAUUCCUGCAAAGAGACAGAGUAACCUGUGGGGCUGUGGACCACCACUGGAUAGACACCGACAGAAUGACGGAUGAUAUGUUAACGUGGUGUCACCAACCAUAACCAGACUAGCGUAUCAGAGUACGUGAACUUCAGAUUUAUCACUUAGUUCUCCUGAGGGCCCAUUUUUCUGGGAGUUCCCUAAUAGCAUUGCAGACAACAGCCAUGCUUCUUCCUCCCGUGUUAUUUUAAUUUUUAAUUACACAAGUCAUAUGCUUAUUGAGAAAGUAAAUUAUCGCGAAGCAGAGUCCGCGACGUGCCGCCCCCAUCCGUUCCCACUCUUGUCUCUAAUAUUAACCAUUACCUGUUAUGUGAUAUAUCGUUGCAUAGCUUUCCUCCCUGCAAACAUAUAUAAUAUGUAUCUACACACACACUCACCUCUUGGUAAAGGCAUUUAAGCCACAUGCAGGCAGAAAGCUAGAUUUGUCUGUUACGGUGCCAAUAACACUUUUAAUUUCCCUGGCUUCACAGAGCAUUCUCAUACAUAGUAGGGCACCCUUCCUUCCAACAACUUUUCCAAAACUCGGCUAUUAUGUGUUUUUAUUUUCCAGAUUAACACCAACUUGCCAAAUUACAGAUGCGUGAGUUUUUAUUUGUUUGUUCCUUUUAUUUAUUAUCUAUUUAUUUAGUUUUUAACGUAAUUUUUCUUAUUUUUUAAGGUUUAUUUGUGUUCGAGAGAGAGACAGGAUACAUAGGCCGUGUUCAUUAACGAUAAGUAAUUCGCUAAGAAUGAUAUGUUUGUCUUGGAAUGUAGAUAGAAAAAGGUGGAAAGAACAGCAGACACAUAAUACUAGGUAGGCAAUAAUUAUAAACACAAGACUCUAGCUGUUCGCGGGCAUAUCCAAUCGGAGGUGUGCGGGAACCAGAGAAAAGUGUGCACAUCUCUUCCCAACUCGGCAUUCAGUGACUUGAAGUUGCUGUCUUUAAAUCAGCCGUGAUGGUAGUAUUUAGAGCACAGAAAUUGAUAAAUAUGUUGAAUCCGCUUUUUUUUUUUUCCUUCCUAGAAAAAGCCUGUUUACCAGCCCAGUGGUGGUGACUUGUGACAGUGGGGGCCUCAUUCAGCCAUCCGCUGGGAAUUCCCAUUCUGGCCCCCAGACCACUCUGCCUGCAGACGGAAGUAACACCCCUGGCAGUAACAGGUUCUUUAGCGGCUAAGUGGAGGCCCCCCGGCCCUGUGUCUCUCGCAUAGAGCAAGUGUGUGUCACUGGCCCAGGGUGCCGCCCCUCCGUGGGCUCCCUCGCCUGAAGCCCAGCUCUGGUUCUCCCAUCCACACCAUCAACGGGCAGGAUAAUGCAGCAGACAGACAGAGACAGGGUGUUCGAACAUUCAGCACGCGUGACCCAGGCCUGGACUGCCUCACAGCUGGCCCUGAGGAGGGAGAGCAACAUCCUGUCCCCUGGGUUUGAGGCCACAUUCCACUGGAUGAAAGCACUAUGGCGUGCCACAUUCCUGGUUUCCCACAACUUGACCUAUUCUUUUUUUUUUUUUUUUAAUUUAUUUUUGGGACAGAGAGAGACAGAGCAUGAACAGGGAAGGGGCAGAGAGA